Long non-coding RNA from Vicia villosa (hairy vetch), 1122 nucleotides. RefSeq lists it as uncharacterized. The transcript is spliced from 2 exons. Lineage: Eukaryota; Viridiplantae; Streptophyta; Magnoliopsida; Fabales; Fabaceae. The record is from RefSeq and is a predicted model, not a curated record.
CAACAAAAAAUCCCUAGCUAUCAAAAGAGGGACUCACGGCCGUUCCACCCUCUCACUAUUCCUCUGUAUUCUUUCACUCAACUGAACAACUGAUGCGUUGAUGUUUGAAGUUGCGUGAAGAGUGUGUUGAAUGAAUUGUUAUGAGGAUGAUAUUUGCUAGUUCUGCUGCGAAGACUGAUGGGUUGAAAGUGAUGCGAUGAACGAUUGAUGAACAGUGACAUUGAAACUGAGUAGGUAUGAUUUGCAGGUGAGUUCGAUUUGUUGUUGAUUUUGGUGAUGUUUACGUUUAUGCAGGUUCCAUAAAGUUUGUUGGAUCUGAUAUGAAGUAGGAGCAGUCGCACAAGAACCGACACAAGAACCGACGCAGACGAGUGUGCACGGAACAGGAACUCAUACCCUUCCGCAAUCGCUCAUGAGUCACGAUUUCGACGAAUCUUCUCAGCCUCCAGUGCUUUAGUGUUUGGUGAUCGCAAAAGUGCAGAAAAGUCGGGAAAAAAGCCGAAGAAUCGUAGAUUUGGACGACGCUGAAGUUGUCAGUGUUUGGUGAUGUUCGCCUGACGCAUGGCUUGGAGGCGAGCGUCCUUCCGGCGAGCAAGAGGCGAAGGGGGCAAAAAUGUGGUCUCCAUUCUGCCAUUGAGCGCCCGACGGAGCAUUUGGCUCGCCGGGCGAAUGAAGAUAUUUUGGGCUUCUCCUUCUGCGCUGAUUUGUGUCACGUGGGCUUUUAAGUGGCUUCGCCCGGCGAAAGGAAGCAACUGCGCAGCUAAUCUGGGUAGAUUGGCCAUGCUUUUAGAGUACUUUGUAGAUAUUUUAUGGAUCAUUCCAUCUUUUGUUUCUCUCUCUUGACAAAAAAUACACCAUUUUGUGUGCAAAAACCCUAAUUCCUCCAUUGCUAACCAAAAUCAUAGUUUUCAACCAUCAAUCUUUGAAACUUCAAGUUUGAUGUUCAUAAAGCUUGAUUUUUUACUUGUUGCUCAAGUCACCAUGGAAAUGGGUGGCUAAAUCAUUCUUGGUGUCAAGAUUAGAGGUAGAUAAUCUUUCUUGUAGUAUGUAUUUCUUUUGAUACUUUGUAUGUGAACAAGUGAUGAUUAAUAUAUGUUGAAAAACCUUGUGUUUAUAUUUAUA